Long non-coding RNA from Lolium rigidum, 296 nucleotides. RefSeq lists it as uncharacterized. Lineage: Eukaryota; Viridiplantae; Streptophyta; Magnoliopsida; Poales; Poaceae. The record is from RefSeq and is a predicted model, not a curated record. The transcript has 3 exons.
AUGUUCGAUCACCGUUUCAUUCCAUCCUAUAUACAUACAGACAUGUUGUUUGGUAAUUUCAGCAACAUCAAAUUUCUCUGACUCGGGUUAAUUGCUACAAUAUGGAAUCAGGUUUCCCGCUGCUGUGAAGAUCUUUUACUGUUCGAAUUUGCAAAUUAUAGCGCAAGAAAAGAAGCUCGAAUAUCAAAGUGAGAGAUGAUGCUCCUCUGUUAUGGAUACUGCCUUUGAUGGGUGGCCAUUUCCGAUGAUUCUUAAAGCUAGACAACAAAAAUACCAUGGAGCUAGAGAGUUGUUAU